RNAcentral lists this ribosomal RNA (425 nucleotides) under uncultured bacterium. RNAcentral describes it as "partial 16S ribosomal RNA". It matches the Rfam family "Bacterial small subunit ribosomal RNA", at positions 354 to 796 of the family's 1533-position model. The record is from RNAcentral.
GUGGGGAAUCUUGCGCAAUGGGCGAAAGCCUGACGCAGCCAUGCCGCGUGAAUGAUGAAGGUCUUAGGAUUGUAAAAUUCUUUCACCGGGGACGAUAAUGACGGUACCCGGAGAAGAAGCCCCGGCUAACUUCGUGCCAGCAGCCGCGGUAAUACGAAGGGGGCUAGCGUUGCUCGGAAUUACUGGGCGUAAAGGGCGCGUAGGUGGACAGUUUAGUCAGAGGUGAAAGCCCAGGGCUCAACCUUGGAAUUGCCUUUGAUACUGGCUGUCUUGAGUACGGGAGAGGUGAGUGGAACUCCGAGUGUAGAGGUGAAAUUCGUAGAUAUUCGGAAGAACACCAGUGGCGAAGGCGACUCACUGGCCCGUUACUGACGCUGAGGCGCGAAAGCGUGGGGAGCAAACAGGAUUAGAAACCCGGGUAGUCC